GCCAGGUGCAGUGGUGUGCGCCUGUAGUCCUAGCUACUCAGGAGGCUGAGGCAAGAGGGUCACUUGAGCCCAGUAGUUUGAGGUGGCAGUGAGCUAUGAUCAUGCCACUGCACUCCAGCCUGGCCAAUAAAGUGAGACUCUGUCUCUA
Unclassified non-coding RNA from Pongo abelii (Sumatran orangutan), 148 nucleotides. It matches the Rfam family "Metazoan signal recognition particle RNA". Rfam says of the family: The signal recognition particle (SRP) is a universally conserved ribonucleoprotein. It is involved in the co-translational targeting of proteins to membranes. NCBI's taxonomy places the organism in Eukaryota, Metazoa, Chordata, Mammalia, Primates, Hominidae. The record is from Ensembl.